GGAAGAUGGAAAAGGAGAGGACAGUCCCCGUGCAAGACAGGUCCUCUUCCCCCAUUCAGCAUCUCUGCAAUGAAGUUUAACUUCCUAAGCAUCAUGAACUUCUUAAGCAUCUUGAGAGCUGGAGGCAGAGAUCUCCACAGUCCUAGGACUGGCAGUUCAAGACGCAAGGGCUCUGGGUCCUCGAAUUGCCAUGUGGAGGAAUGCUGACUGCCUACCAGAAACAUUCACAUUGAAUUUUUAGAGGGUGUGACGCUGACAUAGAAGAAAGUACACUGGCUUUGGUGGAAGGCAGACCUGUCACAACUCCUGUCACUGGCUCUUGUAACUCCUUUUAAUUUGGACAAGAUACUUUGUCUGAACCCCAGUUUUCUCAUCUAGAAAAUGGGAAUCAUAGUGUUCGGGAUUGUUAAAAGGACUAAGGAUUAUUUCUGUGAUGCAGUUGUUCAACCACGCUCUCAACAAUUUUAUGCACUGGACACCAACUGUGCACCUAGCACUCCUUCUAGGCUCUUGAGAUCCAUAAGAGAGAAACAAAGAUCCGCAUUCUCAUGGAGCUUGCAAUUUCAGAAAGAGGAGCUAAAUGGUAAACGAUAAAGAAAAUAAAUAAGUAAAUUAUGCCACAGGGUUGAAGCCCUAAAUAAAACUGAAAAAAUAAAAAGUGAGGGCAGGGUAAAUGGGAUCAGCAUAGCAGAGGUGGGAAGUGGGUCGAGGUAGGCUUCAUUGAGAAAGUGAAAUUUGAGCUGACUUGAUGGAGGGGAGGGAGUGAGCCAGAGGAAGAACAGUCCAUGCAGGAAACAGCUGGAGCAAAGGCCUUAAGAUGGGGGAAUGCAGAGGGGGAGAGGGGGUGAGGUUUUGGCUUCUCACUGAGUGAAAUGGAGAAUAGUUGCAGAGAUUUGAACAGAGGAGUGACAUGAGCAUCAUGAUUCCUUACCUAUCAUUAGAAAUUAUGUACUUCAGUUAUACAUUCUGAGAUAUUACCUUAAGUCCAAACAAUUGUUAACGGAUGAGUCCUUUUCAAGAGGAAUUGAUUCUGCUUGGGUUUACAGUGAUCAUUCUUUACAACAGAACUUUACAAGAGGACUAAAUUUG
This 1089-nucleotide long non-coding RNA is filed under the name Equus caballus (horse). RNAcentral describes it as "lncRNA (ENSECAG00000059065.1)". The record is from RNAcentral. Lineage: Eukaryota; Metazoa; Chordata; Mammalia; Perissodactyla; Equidae.